Hyalella azteca is the source of this 389-nucleotide long non-coding RNA. RefSeq lists it as uncharacterized. The record is from RefSeq and is a predicted model, not a curated record. Lineage: Eukaryota; Metazoa; Arthropoda; Malacostraca; Amphipoda; Hyalellidae. The transcript has 2 exons.
ACCCGCUGCUGGAGUCAAUCAUCACUCGCCCCUUGGCCGCCAGUCGCUCUUGUACAGUAGCGUUCUUCGGUAACUGGAAGUACAGACAGGUGUCGAGCCAUCACAAUGUUUCACCUGAACAUGCGCCACAACCAGCAGAAGAAGAAGGAGGAGGAGCGGCAGAAGGAGGAGCGGCGGCGGCAGUGGGAGGAGGAGCUCAAGGAGGAGGAGAGGCAGGAGGCUGCCGAACAGGCUGCCAAGGACGCCAAGAAGGAGGGCCGGAAGAAAUCGGACGAUGAAAAAACGGAGGAUGAGUAGGGAUGAAGCCAUUGUAACGGAGGAGGAUGAGUAGGGACGGAGCCGUUUAAACGGAGGAGGAUGAGUAGGGACGGAGCCGUUUAAACGGAGGA